RNAcentral lists this ribosomal RNA (302 nucleotides) under uncultured bacterium. RNAcentral's name for it is "bacterial SSU rRNA". It matches the Rfam family "Bacterial small subunit ribosomal RNA", at positions 28 to 348 of the family's 1533-position model. The record is from RNAcentral.
GACAAACGCUGGCGGCGUGCAUAAAACAUGCAAGUCGAACGGUCGGUUCGCCGGCCGUGGGCAGACGGCUGAGUAACGCGUAGGAACCUACCCGGUGUGGGGACAAGCCAUCGAAAGUGGUCUAAUACCGCAUACGGUCCCGGCGCGAGUCGGGAAGAAAGCCGCAAGGUGCACUGGGAGGGGCCUGCGUCCGAUUAGCUGGUUGGUGGGGUACCGGCCUACCAAGGCGACGAUCGGUAGCUGGUCUGAGAGGAUGACCAGCCAGACUGGGACUGGGACACGGCCCAGACUCCUACGGGAGG